RNAcentral lists this ribosomal RNA (579 nucleotides) under uncultured bacterium. RNAcentral's name for it is "partial 16S ribosomal RNA". It matches the Rfam family "Bacterial small subunit ribosomal RNA", at positions 355 to 926 of the family's 1533-position model. The record is from RNAcentral.
UGGGGAAUUUUGGACAAUGGGGGCAACCCUGAUCCAGCAAUACCGCGUGUGUGAAGAAGGCCUUCGGGUUGUAAAGCACUUUUGUCCGGGAAGAAAAUCCCCUGCCCCUAAUACGGCGGGGGGAUGACGGUACCGGAAGAAUAAGCACCGGCUAACUACGUGCCAGCAGCCGCGGUAAUACGUAGGGUGCGAGCGUUAAUCGGAAUUACUGGGCGUAAAGCGUGCGUAGGCGGUGAUGUAAGACCGAUGUGAAAUCCCCGGGCUCAACCUGGGAACUGCAUUGGUGACUGCAUUGCUCGAGUAUGGCAGAGGGGGGUGGAAUUCCACGUNUAGCAGUGAAAUGCGUAGAGAUGUGGAGGAACACCGAUGGCGAAGGCAGCCCCCUGGGCCAAUACUGACGCUCAUGCACGAAAGCGUGGGGAGCAAACAGGAUUAGAUACCCUGGUAGUCCACGCCCUAAACGAUGUCAACUGGUUGUCGGGCCUUCAUUGGCUUGGUAACGUAGCUAACGCGUGAAGUUGACCGCCUGGGGAGUACGUCGCAAGAUUAAAACUUAAAUGAAUUGACGGGGUCAUAGCU